Molecule: long non-coding RNA, 324 nt
Filed under: Brassica napus (rape)
Lineage: Eukaryota; Viridiplantae; Streptophyta; Magnoliopsida; Brassicales; Brassicaceae
Description: long non-coding RNA (BNAP_LNC002515)
Source: RNAcentral
CCUUAUCGGUGUUUGGUACUACCGUUGGAGACCGAGGCACCCUCCGCACAUGGACACGCGCCUCUCACACGCUGACUCAGCUCACCCUGACGAGCUGGACGAAGAGUUUGAUACUUUCCCUAUUUCGAGACCAUCUGAUAUUGUCAGGAUGAGGUAUGACAGGUUGAGGAGUAUCGCAUUUCCCUACUUCGAGACCCUCUGAUAUUGUCAGGAUGAGGUAUGAUAGGCUGAGGAGUAUCGCUGGGAGGAUUCAGACGGUGGUUGGUGAUCUUGCAACUCAAGGAGAAAGGCUUCAGUCUCUGCUGAGCUGGCGUGAUCCGCGUG